CCUGCUAUGGUAUAACUUAGUGGCAGACGGGUGAGUAAUGUAUAGGGAUCUACCUAAUAGUACGGAAUAAUUACUGGAAACGGUGAUUAAUACCAUAUACGCCCUACGGGGGAAAGAUUUAUCGCUAUUAGAUGAGCCUAUAUUAGAUUAGCUAGUUGGUAGGGUAAUGGCCUACCAAGGCAAUGAUCUAUAGCUGAUCUGAGAGGAUGAUCAGCCACACUGGAACUGAGAUACGGUCCAGACUCCUACGGGAGGCAGCAGUGGGGAAUAUUGGACAAUGGGCGAAAGCCUGAUCCAGCCAUGCCGCAUGAGUGAAGAAGGCCUUUGGGUUGUAAAGCUCUUUCAGUGAGGAAGAUAAUGACGGUACUCACAGAAGAAGUCCUGGCUAACUCCGUGCCAGCAGCCGCGGUAAUACGGAGAGGGCUAGCGUUAUUCGGAAUUAUUGGGCGUAAAGAGCGCGUAGGCUGAUUAGUAAGUUAAGAGUGAAAUCCCAGAGCUCAACUUUGGAAUUGCUUUUAAAACUGCUAAUCUAGAGAUUGAAAGAGGAUAGAGGAAUUCCUAGUGUAGAGGUGAAAUUCGUAAAUAUUAGGAGGAACACCAGUGGCGAAGGCGUCUAUCUGGUUCAAAUCUGACGCUGAUGCGCGAAGGCGUGGGGAGCAAACAGGAUUAGAUACCCUGGUAGUCCACGCUGUAAACGAUGAAUGCUAAAUAUGGGAAGGUGACUUUCUGUAUUACAGCUAACGCGUUAAGCAUUCCGCCUGGGGACUACGAUCGCAAGAUUAAAACUCAAAGGAAUUGACGGGGACCCGCACAAGCGGUGGAGCAUGUGGUUUAAUUCUAUGCUACGCGAAAAACCUUACCACUCCUUGACAUGAAAAU
This 879-nucleotide ribosomal RNA is filed under the name Wolbachia endosymbiont of Neoseiulus paspalivorus. Its description in RNAcentral is "bacterial SSU rRNA". It matches the Rfam family "Bacterial small subunit ribosomal RNA", at positions 76 to 993 of the family's 1533-position model. Lineage: Bacteria; Pseudomonadati; Pseudomonadota; Alphaproteobacteria; Rickettsiales; Anaplasmataceae. The record is from RNAcentral.